GUGCCAGCCGCCGCGGUAAUACGGAGGGUGCAAGCGUUGUCCGGAAUCACUGGGCGUAAAGGGUGCGCAGGCGGGGCAGCAAGUCGGAGGUGAAAGCCCGUGGCUCAACCACGGAAGUGCCUUCGAAACUGUUGCUCUUGAGUCCCGGAGAGGUUGCCGGAAUUCGUGGUGUAGCGGUGAAAUGCGUAGAUAUCAUGAGGAACACCAGAGGCGAAAGCGACUGGCUGGAUCGGGACUGACGCUGAGGCACGAAAGCGUGGGCAGCGAACAGGACUAGAUACCCUAGUAGUCC
This 292-nucleotide ribosomal RNA is filed under the name uncultured bacterium. RNAcentral's name for it is "partial 16S ribosomal RNA". It matches the Rfam family "Bacterial small subunit ribosomal RNA", at positions 505 to 796 of the family's 1533-position model. The record is from RNAcentral.